GGAUCAGAGAGUCCGCACAGAAAGCGGGGACACACCGAUCAAUAUCUGUUAAAAAUUAAUUCUGGGGAUGAAGUAAAUAACUACUCAUACAUUACUGGUAAAAGAGAGUAUUGAAGUAUGAGAAGUUCAUAGUAGACAACAUUGCUGGCUUAGUCAAGCUGUUUAAGUGAUCACCUAUUGUCAUUCAGACAGAGAUGACUUUUGAGUAAACAUUUAUUUUGGACUUUUCUCAGACACGACCGGAAAAUCCUGUUUACUCACAAGCUGUAUCUAAAUCUUCCUCUUGGAUUUUAAUGUAUUUAUCCAUGCAGCUGGCUUGAAUCAGUGUUGAAAAUAAAGACUGGGACACAGCCGGUCUGAUUAAUAUUUGGGUUGUACAGGGUUUUUUUUGCCCUGCACUGCCAUGAGAAGAACCUCCCUUACCAUGUAAAACCAGCACAUUUAUUUAUUUCCAGAUUUUAUUUUCCUUGAGCACAGCAGAUGGUACGUGCGUGAGAACCAUAUUGCCGUGAGCUCAUUCAGCAACAGCAGCGCAGGUUCACGAGCGAGGCCCUUGACAUACAGCUGGUGGACAGAGGGGAUGCUCAACUUCAAGGCACAGCAGAAAUGACGAGAGGCCGCCGGACUGAAUGUCUUGCCAGGAGGUGAGCCCCAGCAGCCAACACUACAUGGACCAGUCAUCGCAUCGCUGAUUGGACACCAAAUCCACGCACGAUAACUACAAACAGUCGCGCGAAACAACGCAUGAGAGCACAUGGUGAAAUAACAAGCAGCGGAGAGGAUGGGGGAGCCGACUGGCUGCAGCGAAGUUUGAAGACAACUUCUGCAAACACAAGACAGCUGGUAUCACACCGCUGCGGACGCCAUCUUCUCUUUACAUUGUAGUUCCCUGAAGUCCCCGGCACCCACUUCUUGAUUACGUCAUGCAGGUCAUGAGAGACGCCAAGCUCUGACCGGGGUCGGGGACCAACGUGUGGUUUGUCAUGUCUCGCGGCCAAGUCACGACAAGAAUUUGUGACUCUACAAUAUCAUGCAGUCUGAAACUGCAAUUAUACCGUGUCUGAUAUUCUUUAACUUAAUUUCAUACACUGGGAAGAAAAAGCAAGUGAGCCCUUUGUAAUUACCUGCACUCAUGUAUAAAAUAUGGUCAGGACUUCAUUUAAGUUAUUAUGAACAAUCUACUUUAACUAGUAACACACAAAUCAUUGUUCUUGUCCAUAUUCAAACAUUAACAGUCUAGAUUGAAAAAAGUAAAGAACCCCUCGGCUAAUGACAUCAGAAAAAGCUAACUGGAUUCAGGAGUUAAUAAACCUGGAGUCAAAUCAAUGAAAUCAAACCGGAGUUGGGUCAUAGCUACUUUGACUUACGAAAAACUGUCCAACGUUUUAAGCUUGCCAUUCAUGACAAACAUCUGCUGAUGUGAACCACG
Long non-coding RNA from Xiphias gladius (swordfish), 1429 nucleotides. RefSeq lists it as uncharacterized. The transcript has 4 exons. Lineage: Eukaryota; Metazoa; Chordata; Actinopteri; Istiophoriformes; Xiphiidae. The record is from RefSeq and is a predicted model, not a curated record.